Molecule: ribosomal RNA, 422 nt
Filed under: uncultured bacterium
Lineage: Bacteria
Description: bacterial SSU rRNA
Rfam family: Bacterial small subunit ribosomal RNA
Source: RNAcentral
UCUUCCGCAAUGGACGAGAGUCUGACGGAGCAACGCCGCGUGAGUGAUGAAGGUUUUCGGAGCGUAAAGCGCUGUUGUUAGGGAAGAACAAGUGCCGUUCAAAUAGGGCGGCACCUUGACGGUACCUAACCAGAAAGCAACGGCUAACUACGUGCCAGCAGCCGCGGUAAUACGUAGGUGGCAAGCGUUGUCCGGAAUUAUUGGGCGUAAAGGGCUCGCAGGCGGUUUCUUAAGUCUGAUGUGAAAGCCCCCGGAUAAAACGGGGAGGGUCAUUGGAAACUGGGGAACUUGAGUGCAGGAGAGGAGAGUGGAAUUCCACGUGUAGCGGUGAAAUGCGUAGAGAUGUGGAGGAACACCAGUGGCGAAGGCGACUCUCUGGUCUGUAACUGACGCUGAGGAGCGAAAGCGUGGGGAGCGAACAG